UGUUAAAAAUUUCAUCCAUUUGUAUUAUUAAAAAUUGAUGUGACUAACAAAAUAACUAUAUCUCAUGUUGAUGUACAUUGACCAAUUUUUUACAAUAAAAAUAGAUGAAAUAUUUAUCA
Molecule: microRNA precursor, 119 nt
Filed under: Gossypium arboreum
Lineage: Eukaryota; Viridiplantae; Streptophyta; Magnoliopsida; Malvales; Malvaceae
Description: MIR7502 microRNA precursor family
Rfam family: MIR7502 microRNA precursor family
Source: Rfam by way of RNAcentral